Molecule: long non-coding RNA, 743 nt
Filed under: Mytilus galloprovincialis (Mediterranean mussel)
Lineage: Eukaryota; Metazoa; Mollusca; Bivalvia; Mytilida; Mytilidae
Source: RNAcentral
CAGACAUUUCAAAGGUGUAAAAAACAGAAAUUUAGGCCAAUCAGUCAAAAAAUUACUAAGAAAAAAAUCUUUGAAAAUCCUGUUUUUCAUUCAGGAAAUUGACCGAAAAUUGUUGUCCGUUUUUCGAUCUUUUGCAGUUAGUGCCGUAAUUUUGUUAAAGUUUAAAAAAUAAUCAUAUUUGUUAUAAAAUUAUAAUUUAUCGGCAUAUUUUCUUCCAUUUCAGCCAUCCUUUGAAGUGUUUAUACCUCAAAAUCAUAAAACGGCGAAAUUGUGUCCCCGGCGAAUAUGGGCCUCCCACUCUAUGUUGCAAAAGUUAUUUCUUUUGGGUGGAUGUGUAUGUUUAAGCGCGGAUUCAUAUAAGAUGGAUUCUUACAGUAUGCACCCUUUUAUUAAUUCAUUGUACAAUUUAAUAAAUAUAAUAAAUGAAUUAAAACGCCUGAUAUCGUGGGUUCUGACACCGGCCUGGUCAAACUUAAGACUUAAAAAUUGGUAUUUGCUGAUUUCCGUUAAUCAAUUGGCAUUAAGGGGUAAGAACAAAAACUAGUUGGAUCGGAGUGUCAAGUUAGGGUAAUAUGUCUUCCAACGGACUGUAACCUUUUAAGGUAUAGCACAAUAAAAAUUAAUGAAACAAACAACCCAUGCAGCAACAUGAUGUCCAAAAGUUAGCACUUUGUGUAAACAUGAAUUAUUAUUGAAAUAGUAACUUUUAUGAAUUAACUGUUAACAAAACUGUAUAUAUUGUU